GAUGAACGCUGGCGGCGUGCCUAACACAUGCAAGUCGAACGGAGAUUACGGACGGAAGUUUUCGGAUGGAAGCCUGUAAUUCUUAGUGGCGGACGGGUGAGUAACGCGUGGGCAACCUGCCCUAUACAGGGGGAUAGCAGCUGGAAACGGCUGGUAAGACCGCAUAAGUCGGUUAAAUCGCAUGAUUUGAUCGGGAAAUGAGCAAUCAGGUAUAGGAUGGGCCCGCGUCCGAUUAGCCAGUUGGCAGGGUAAAAGCCUACAAAAGCGACGAUCGGUAGCCGGACUGAGAGGUCGGACGGCCACAUUGGGACUGAGACACGGCCCAAACUCCUACGGGAGGCAGCAGUGGGGGAUAUUGCACAAUGGAGGAAACUCUGAUGCAGCGACGCCGCGUGAGUGAAGAAGUAUUUCGGUAUGUAAAGCUCUAUCAGCAGGGAAGAUGAUGACGGUACCUGACGAAGAAGCCCCGGCUAACUACGUG
This 481-nucleotide ribosomal RNA is filed under the name uncultured bacterium. RNAcentral's name for it is "partial 16S ribosomal RNA". It matches the Rfam family "Bacterial small subunit ribosomal RNA", at positions 28 to 507 of the family's 1533-position model. The record is from RNAcentral.